GCAAGUCGAACGGCAGCACGGGUGCUUGCACCUGGUGGCGAGUGGCGAACUGGUGAGUAAUAUAUCGGAACGUACCUUAUCGUGGGGGAUAACGCAGCGAAAGCUGCGCUAAUACCGCAUACGCCCUGAGGGGGAAAGCGGGGGACCGUAAGGCCUCGCGCGAUUAGAGCGGCCGAUAUCUGAUUAGCUUGUUGGUGGGGUAAAAGCCCACCAAGGCGACGAUCAGUAGCUGGUCUGAGAGGACGAUCAGCCACACUGGGACUGAGACACGGCCCAGACUCCUACGGGAGGCAGCAGUGGGGAAUUUUGGACAAUGGGGGCAACCCUGAUCCAGCAAUGCCGCGUGAGUGAAGAAGGCCUUCGGGUUGUAAAGCUCUUUUGUCAGGGAAGAAACAGCAGCUCUAACACAGUCUGCGAAUGACGGUACCUGAAGAAUAAGCACCGGCUAACUACGUGCCAGCAGCCGCGGUAAUACGUAGGGUGCAAGCGUUAAUCGGAAUUACUGGGCGUAAAGCGUGCGCAGGCGGUUAUACAAGACAGGCGUGAAAUCCCCGGGCUUAACCUGGGAAUGGCGUCUGUGACUGUAUGACUAGAGUGUGUCAGAGGGGGGUAGAAUUCCACGUGUAGCAGUGAAAUGCGUAGAUAUGUGGAGGAAUACCAAUGGCGAAGGCAGCCCCCUGGGAUAACACUGACGCUCAUGCACGAAAGCGUGGGGAGCAAACAGGAUUAGAUACCCUGGUAGUCCACGCCCUAAACGAUGCCGACUAGUUGUUGGGAAUUUACAUUCUCAGUAACGUAGCUAACGCGUGAAGUCGGCCGCCUGGGGAGUACGGUCGCAAGAUUAAAACUCAAAGGAAUUGACGGGGACCCGCACAAGCGGUGGAUGAUGUGGAUUAAUUCGAUGCAACGCGAAAAACCUUACCUACCCUUGACAUGUCACUAACGAAGU
RNAcentral lists this ribosomal RNA (949 nucleotides) under uncultured Burkholderiaceae bacterium. Its description in RNAcentral is "bacterial SSU rRNA". It matches the Rfam family "Bacterial small subunit ribosomal RNA", at positions 57 to 1001 of the family's 1533-position model. Lineage: Bacteria; Pseudomonadati; Pseudomonadota; Betaproteobacteria; Burkholderiales; Burkholderiaceae. The record is from RNAcentral.